This 535-nucleotide ribosomal RNA is filed under the name Hanseniaspora opuntiae. RNAcentral describes it as "partial 26S ribosomal RNA". Lineage: Eukaryota; Fungi; Ascomycota; Saccharomycetes; Saccharomycodales; Saccharomycodaceae. The record is from RNAcentral.
AUUAUGCCAACAUCCUUGCCGAAGCGCAGUCCUCAAUCCCAGCUAGCAGUAUUCCAAUAAGCUAUAACACUACCGAGGUAGCUACAUUCUUAAUGAUUUAUCCUACUGCCAGAAUUGAUGUUGGCCCAGUGAAAUUUUUGAGAGGCCCAAGCCCACGAGAGGCAAGUGCAUGCAAAAAACACCAUGUCUGAUCAAAUGCCCUUCCCUUUCAACAAUUUCACGUACUUUUUCACUCUCUUUUCAAAGUUCUUUUCAUCUUUCCAUCACUGUACUUGUUCGCUAUCGGUCUCUCGCCAAUAUUUAGCUUUAGAUGGAAUUUACCACCCACUUUGAGCUGCAUUCCCAAACAACUCGACUCUUCGAAAAAGUCUUACAAAGAAAAGGUAUCCUCGCCAAACGGGAUUCUCACCCUCUAUGACGUCCUGUUCCAAGGAACAUAGACAAGGACCUAAUCAAAGACAAAUUCUACAAAUUACAACUCGGGCACUGAAAGUACCAGAUUUCAAAUUUGAGCUUUUACCGCUUCACUCGCCGU